RNAcentral lists this ribosomal RNA (100 nucleotides) under Periophthalmus magnuspinnatus. Lineage: Eukaryota; Metazoa; Chordata; Actinopteri; Gobiiformes; Gobiidae. The record is from RNAcentral.
CAUCCUUGUCAAAGGCUGAUCUCUCAAAAGCUGAGCAGCACCGGGCCUGGUCAGUACUUGGAUGGGAGACUGCUGGAAAUCCCAGGGGCCACAGGGGGGC